Molecule: ribosomal RNA, 449 nt
Filed under: uncultured bacterium
Lineage: Bacteria
Description: bacterial SSU rRNA
Rfam family: Bacterial small subunit ribosomal RNA
Source: RNAcentral
UCGAGAAUCAUUCGCAAUGGGCGAAAGCCUGACGAUGCGACGUCGCGUGAUGGACGAAGUGCUUCGGCACGUAAACAUCUUUUAUGUGGGAUGAAAUUAUUGACAGUACCACAUGAAUAAGGGGCUCCUAACUCUGUGCCAGCAGGAGCGGUAAUACAGAGGCCCCAAGCGUUAUCCGGAAUCACUGGGCGUAAAGGGUGUCGAGGCGGUUGUAUUAGUCGUUCAUAAAUCUACGAGCUUAACUUGUAGGCGGCGAACGAAACGGUACGACUUGAGGUUUGGAGAGGUGCGUGGAACUCACGGUGUAGGGGUGAAAUCCGUUGAUAUCGUGGGGAACACCAAAGGCGAAGGCAGCGCACUGGCCAAAAUCUGACGCUCACACACGAAAGCUAGGGUAGCGAAGAGGAUUAGAUACCCCAGUAGUCCCUGAGCGGGCUGGCAAGGCGCAU